This 347-nucleotide ribosomal RNA is filed under the name uncultured bacterium. RNAcentral describes it as "partial 16S ribosomal RNA". It matches the Rfam family "Bacterial small subunit ribosomal RNA", at positions 338 to 682 of the family's 1533-position model. The record is from RNAcentral.
CCUACGGGUGGCAGCAGUGAGGAAUAUUGGUCAAUGGGCGCGAGCCUGAACCAGCCAAGUAGCGUGAAGGAUGAAGGCCCUACGGGUUGUAAACUUCAUUUAUAAAGGAGAAAAGUGAGGCACGUGAGCCUUUUUGUAUGUACUUUAUGAAUAAGGAUCGGCUAACUCCGUGCCAGCAGCCGCGGUAAUACGGAGGAUCCGCGCGUUAUCCGGAUUUAUUGGGUUUAAAGGGAGCGUAGAUGGGUUGUUAAGUCAGUUGUGAAAGUUUGCGGCUCAACCGUAAAAUUGCAAUUGAUACUGGCAGCCUUGAGUACAGUUGCGGUAGGCGGCAUUCGUUGUGUAGCGGU